GACGAACGCUGGCGGCGUGCUUAACACAUGCAAGUCGAGCGGUAAGGCCUUUCGGGGUACACGAGCGGCGAACGGGUGAGUAACACGUGGGUGAUCUGCCCUGCACUUCGGGAUAAGCCUGGGAAACUGGGUCUAAUACCGGAUAUGACCUCCUAUCGCAUGGUGGGUGGUGGAAAGAUUUAUCGGUGCAGGAUGGGCCCGCGGCCUAUCAGCUUGUUGGUGGGGUAAUGGCCUACCAAGGCGACGACGGGUAGCCGACCUGAGAGGCUGACCGGCCACACUGGGACUGAGACACGGCCCAGACUCCUACGGGAGGCAGCAGUGGGGAAUAUUGCACAAUGGGCGAAAGCCUGAUGCAGCGACGCCGCGUGAGGGAUGACGGCCUUCGGGUUGUAAACCUCUUUCAGCAGGGACGAAGCGCAAGUGACGGUACCUGCAGAAGAAGCACCGGCUAACUACGUG
This 462-nucleotide ribosomal RNA is filed under the name uncultured bacterium. RNAcentral describes it as "partial 16S ribosomal RNA". It matches the Rfam family "Bacterial small subunit ribosomal RNA", at positions 28 to 507 of the family's 1533-position model. The record is from RNAcentral.